GUUGAACGGCCACAUUGGGACUGAGACACGGCCCAAACUCCUACGGGAGGCAGCAGUAGGGAAUUUUCGGCAAUGGAGGAAACUCUGACCGAGCAACGCCGCGUGAACGAUGAAGUAUUUCGGUACGUAAAGUUCUUUUAUUAGGGAAGAAUAAAUGAUGGAAAAAUCAUUCUGACGGUACCUAAUGAAUAAGCCCCGGCUAACUAUGUGCCAGCAGCCGCGGUAAUACAUAGGGGGCAAGCGUUAUCCGGAAUUAUUGGGCGUAAAGGGUGCGUAGGCGGUUAAAUAAGUUUAUGGUCUAAGUGCAAUGCUUAACAUUGUGAUGCUAUAAAAACUGUUUAGCUAGAGUAAGAUAGAGGCAAGUGGAAUUCCAUGUGUAGUGGUAAAAUGCGUAAAUAUAUGGAGGAACACCAGUAGCGAAGGCGGCUUGCUGGGUCUUUACUGACGCUGAGGCACGAAAGCGUGGGGAGCAAACAGGAUUAGAUACCCUGGUAGUCCACGCCGUAAACGAUGAGUACUAAAUGUUGGGUAAAACCAGUGUUGAAGUUAACACAUUAAGUACUCCGCCUGAGUAGUACGUACGCAAGUAUGAAACUUAAAGGAAUUGACGGGACUCCGCACAAGCGGUGGAUCAUGUUGUUUAAUUCGAAGGUACCCGAAAAACCUCACCAGGUCUUGACAUGCUUCUGCAAAGCUGUAGAAACACAGUGGAGGUUAUCAGUUGCACAGGUGGUGCAUGGUUGUCGUCAGCUCGUGUCGUGAGAUGUUGGGUUAAGUCCCGCAACGAGCGCAACCCUUAUUGUUAGUUGCCAGCACGUAAUGGUGGGGACUUUAGCAAGACUGCCAGUGAUAAAUUGGAGGAAGGUGGGGACGACGUC
Molecule: ribosomal RNA, 878 nt
Filed under: Cassava witches'-broom aster yellows phytoplasma
Lineage: Bacteria; Bacillati; Mycoplasmatota; Mollicutes; Acholeplasmatales; Acholeplasmataceae
Description: bacterial SSU rRNA
Rfam family: Bacterial small subunit ribosomal RNA
Source: RNAcentral